Molecule: transfer RNA, 67 nt
Filed under: Marmota monax (woodchuck)
Lineage: Eukaryota; Metazoa; Chordata; Mammalia; Rodentia; Sciuridae
Description: tRNA.Ala
Rfam family: tRNA
About the family: Transfer RNA (tRNA) molecules are approximately 80 nucleotides in length. Their secondary structure includes four short double-helical elements and three loops (D, anti-codon, and T loops).
Source: RNAcentral
GGUUGUAGCUCAGUGGUAGAGUGCUUGUCUUGCACACCUGAGGCCCUGGGUUCAAUCCUCAGCACCA